UACGUAGGGGGCUAGCGUUGUCCGGAAUCAUUGGGCGUAAAGCGCGUGUAGGCGGCCCGGUAAGUCCGCUGUGAAAGUCGGGGGCUCAACCCUCGGAUGCCGGUGGAUACUGUCGGGCUUGAGUACGGAAGAGGCGAGUGGAAUUCCUGGUGUAGCAGUGAAAUGCGUAGAUAUCAGGAGGAAUACCCGUGGCGCAGGCGGCUUCCUGGGGCACACCUGACACUGAGAAGCGACAGCUAGGGGAGCAAACGGG
RNAcentral lists this ribosomal RNA (253 nucleotides) under uncultured bacterium. RNAcentral describes it as "partial 16S ribosomal RNA". It matches the Rfam family "Bacterial small subunit ribosomal RNA", at positions 524 to 776 of the family's 1533-position model. The record is from RNAcentral.